AUUGAACGCUGGCGGCAGGCCUAACACAUGCAAGUCGAGCGGUAGCACAGGAGAGCUUGCUCUCUGGGUGACGAGCGGCGGACGGGUGAGUAAUGUCUGGGAAACUGCCUGAUGGAGGGGGAUAACUACUGGAAGCGGUAGCUAAUACCGCAUAAUGUCGCAAGACCAAAGAGGGGGACCUUCGGGCCUCUUGCCAUCAGAUGUGCCCAGAUGGGAUUAGCUAGUAGGUGGGUUAACGGCUCACCUAGGCGACGAUCCCUAGCUGGUCUGAGAGGAUGACCAGCCACACUGGAACUGAGACACGGUCCAGACUCCUACGGGAGGCAGCAGUGGGGAAUAUUGCACAAUGGGCGCAAGCCUGAUGCAGCCAUGCCGCGUGUAUGAAGAAGGCCUUCGGGUUGUAAAGUACUUUCAGCGAGGAGGAAGGCAUUGUGGUUAAUAACCACAGUGAUUGACGUUACUCGCAGAAGAAGCACCGGCUAACUCCGUGCCAGCAGCCGCCGUAA
RNAcentral lists this ribosomal RNA (506 nucleotides) under uncultured bacterium. RNAcentral describes it as "partial 16S ribosomal RNA". It matches the Rfam family "Bacterial small subunit ribosomal RNA", at positions 30 to 523 of the family's 1533-position model. The record is from RNAcentral.